Molecule: ribosomal RNA, 594 nt
Filed under: uncultured Alphaproteobacteria bacterium
Lineage: Bacteria; Pseudomonadati; Pseudomonadota; Alphaproteobacteria
Description: bacterial SSU rRNA
Rfam family: Bacterial small subunit ribosomal RNA
Source: RNAcentral
AGAGUUUGAUCCUGGCUCAGAACGAACGCUGGCGGCAGGCCUAACACAUGCAAGUCGAACGAGAAGCUUUUCUUCGGAAAAGUGGAAAGUGGCAGACGGGUGAGUAACGCGUGGGAAUCUACCCAAUGGUACGGAAUAACGCAGGGAAACUUGUGCUAAUACCGUAUACGCCCUUCGGGGGAAAGAUUUAUCGCCAUUGGAUGAGCCCGCGUCAGAUUAGCUAGUUGGUAAGGUAACGGCUUACCAAGGCUCCGAUCUGUAGCUGGUCUGAGAGGAUGAUCAGCCACACUGGGACUGAGACACGGCCCAGACUCCUACGGGAGGCAGCAGUGGGGAAUAUUGGACAAUGGGCGCAAGCCUGAUCCAGCCAUGCCGCGUGAGUGAAGAAGGCCCUAGGGUUGUAAAACUCUUUCGCCAGGGAAGAUAAUGACGGUACCUGGUAAAGAAGCCCCGGCCAACUCCGUGCCAGCAGCCGCGGUAAUACGGAGGGGGCUAGCGUUGUUCGGAAUUACUGGGCGUAAAGCGCGCGUAUGCGGAUUGGUAAGUUGGAGGUGAAAUCCCGGGGCUCACCCCGGAACUGCCUUCAAACUGCCA